This is a long non-coding RNA of Trachymyrmex septentrionalis, 84 nucleotides long. RefSeq lists it as uncharacterized. The record is from RefSeq and is a predicted model, not a curated record. The transcript has 3 exons. NCBI's taxonomy places the organism in Eukaryota, Metazoa, Arthropoda, Insecta, Hymenoptera, Formicidae.
GUGCACGAAGGGAUAUGUAAGUACAAUUUAAAAGAUGAACCAUCAAUCACCUUGCUUGAAAUCGUGUAUUAUUUGCACUCGGCC